This is a long non-coding RNA of Chelonia mydas (Green sea turtle), 514 nucleotides long. RefSeq lists it as uncharacterized. Lineage: Eukaryota; Metazoa; Chordata; Testudines; Cheloniidae. The transcript has 3 exons. The record is from RefSeq and is a predicted model, not a curated record.
GUGUGCCACUCCUUACUAGUGAGAAACAGACAGCUCAUGUACUAUGAUUGGCAUGCACCUCAGUGUCUGCAACUCUUUUGCUGCAGUUGCUCUAUUAAAAACCAAUUAACUUCAAAGGAAUGCCCUGCUCAAUGGAUCUGCCACCAGCAUUGCCUUUCCUGGGCCGUAACUUCUUCUUACGUUAUGGUGCUGGAAUCUCAAUAACAUGCAUUGGAAUCACUUGGCUGUAUUCAGCAAUGGCUUCUUCAUCUGCACAUCUACCUGAUAGAAUCAUUGGAUUCCAAAGAGCACAUAAGUCAGAGGCUAGCUGUGGGCUUUUUUCAGUGGCAACAAAGGAGCAACUAACAAGACCGAUUUAAAUCAGGACCAGACGGACAUGUUUAUGGCCCAUCAAGAAGAAUCCCCUCUCCCACCGACUCCUCAGAGUGGGCAUGUACACAAUGAGGGCUGCCUAACCCCCACGUCGCUGCAAGGAUCUUUCUAGCACCUGGAGAAAAAGUAUAAAUGAGGGUUG